UCUAAGCAAAACAGCUAGCCUAGCCAUAAUAAAACAAAUGACCAACCAUAUAUAACAAAACAAACCCAAAUAAAAUAAAACAUUCUUCCCCCUAAGUAUAGGUGAUAGAAAAGGACAAAAUAGAGCAAUAGAAAAAGUACCGCAAGGGAAAGCUGAAAGAGAAAUGAAACAAACCAUACAAGCAAAAAAAAGCAGAGACUAAAACUCGUACCUUUUGCAUCAUGGUUUAGCAAGCAAAAAUCAAGCAAAGAGAACUUUAGUUUGAGACCCCGAAACUAGACGAGCUACUCCGGGGCAGCCUAAUUAGGGCCAACCCGUCUCUGUGGCAAAAGAGUGGGAAGACCCCCGAGUAGAGGUGAUAAGCCUACCGAGCCUAGUUAUAGCUGGUUGCUUAAGAAAUGAAUGUUAGUUCAGCCUUAUGUAAUUCUAUAACCAAACCAAUUAACCAAAAGAACAAAAGCAAUACAUAAGAGUUAGUCAAAGGGGGUACAGCCCCUUUGAAACAGAACACAACCUUAUUCAGGAGGACAAAGAUCAUAUUAUAAAAGGACAAAAUUACCUCAGUGGGCCCAAAAGCAGCCACCUGUAAAGAAAGCGUUAAAGCUCCGGUAAAUAAAGACCAAUAAUAAAGACAAUACACUCCCAAUCCCCUAAGAAUAUUAAGCUAUCCUAUGCACACAUAGGAGAAAUAAUGCUAAAAUCAGUAAUAAGAGGAUCUAAAUCCUCUCCUAGCACACGCUAUCCUAUGCACACAUAGGAGAAAUAAUGCUAAAAUCAGUAAUAAGAGGAUCUAAAUCCUCUCCUAGCACACGUGUAAGUCAGAACGGACCCACCACUGACAAUCAACGGACCCAAACAGAGAGAAAAAGAACAAACUACAAAAAACAAGAAAAAACUAUUUAACAUCCAAAACCGUUAACCCAACACAGGAGUGCCUCAAGGAAAGACUAAAAGGAGAAGAAGGAACUCGGCAAACACAAACCCCGCCUGUUUACCAAAAACAUCGCCUCUUGCUAACAAAGGAAGUACUAGAGGUCCCGCCUGCCCUGUGACCACAAAGUUUAACGGCCGCGGUAUCCUGACCGUGCGAAGGUAGCGUAAUCAUUUGUCUUUUAAAUAGAGACCUGUAUGAAUGGCAUAACGAGGGUUUAACUGUCUCCCUCCCCUAGUCAAUGAAAUUGAUCUGCCCGUGCAGAAGCGGACAUAAACACAUAAGACGAGAAGACCCUAUGGAGCUUUAGACAAAAGAUCAAACAUGUAAAGAAACCUAGCUAACCAAAAGGAACACAAAGGCCACAAAACCAAACGUUAAAGAUCCAAAUGUCUUCGGUUGGGGCGACCACGGGGGAAAGAAAAGCCCCCACGAGGAACAGGGACAAUCCUUAAGUCAAGAGAUACACCUCUAAGCAACAGAAAAUCUGACCAAAAAUGACCCAGGACACUAAUCCUGAUCAACGAACCAAGUUACCCUAGGGAUAACAGCGCAAUCCUUUCCCAGAGUCCAUAUCGACGAAAGGGUUUACGACCUCGAUGUUGGAUCAGGACAUCCUAAUGGU
This 1556-nucleotide ribosomal RNA is filed under the name Anguilla labiata (African mottled eel). Its description in RNAcentral is "Anguilla bengalensis labiata partial 16S ribosomal RNA". It matches the Rfam family "Bacterial large subunit ribosomal RNA", at positions 150 to 2554 of the family's 2925-position model. Lineage: Eukaryota; Metazoa; Chordata; Actinopteri; Anguilliformes; Anguillidae. The record is from RNAcentral.